Molecule: ribosomal RNA, 402 nt
Filed under: uncultured prokaryote
Description: bacterial SSU rRNA
Rfam family: Bacterial small subunit ribosomal RNA
Source: RNAcentral
UAGGGAAUAUUAGAAAUGGACGAAAGUCUGAUCUAGCAACACCGCGUGUGCGAAGAAGGCCUUCGGGUCGUAAAGCACUUUUUGGAAGGAAUAGGAAGGAAUGUACUUCCAGAAUAAGUCUCGGCUAACUACGUGCCAGCAGCCGCGGUAACACGUAGGAGGCAAACGUAAUCCGGAUUUACUGGGCGUAAAGCGCGUGUAGGUGGUACUGUAAGUAGGGCGUGAAAGCUCCUGGCUCAACUGGGAGAGGCCGUUCUAAACUACAGAACUAGAGGAUGGUAGAGGGAGGUGGAAUUCCAGGUGUAGCGGUGGAAUGCGCAGAUAUCUGGAGGAACACCGGUGGCGAAGGCGGCCACCUGCACCAUUCCUGACACUCAGACGCGAAAGCUAGGGUAGCAAACG